RNAcentral lists this ribosomal RNA (1349 nucleotides) under alpha proteobacterium IMCC10428. RNAcentral describes it as "bacterial SSU rRNA". It matches the Rfam family "Bacterial small subunit ribosomal RNA". Lineage: Bacteria; Pseudomonadati; Pseudomonadota; Alphaproteobacteria. The record is from RNAcentral.
GCGGCACGCCUAACACAUGCAAGUCGAACGAAGUAGCAAUACUUAGUGGCAGACGGGUGAGUAACAUGUAGGUAUCUGCCCUUUGGCCUGGAAUAACACGAGGAAACUUGUGCUAAUACCGGAUAAGUCUUUACGGAGAAAGCUUUAUGCACCAUUGGAUGAGCCUGCACUUGAUUAGUUUGUUGGUGGGGUAAUGGCCUACCAAGACUGUGAUCAAUAGCUGAUUUGAGAGGAUGAUCAGCCACAUUGGGANUGAGACACGGCCCAAACUCCUACGGGAGGCAGCAGUGGGGAAUCUUGCACAAUGGAGGAAACUCUGAUGCAGCGAUGCCGCGUGAGUGAAGAAGGCCUUUGGGUUGUAAAGCUCUUUCGUCGGGGAAGAAAAUGACUGUACCCGAAUAAGAAGGUCCGGCUAACUUCGUGCCAGCAGCCGCGGUAAUACGAAGGGACCUAGCGUAGUUCGGAAUUACUGGGCUUAAAGAGUUCGUAGGUGGUUGAAAAAGUUGGUGGUGAAAUCCCAGAGCUUAACUCUGGAACUGCCAUCAAAACUUUUCAGCUAGAGUAUGAUAGAGGAAAGCAGAAUUUCUAGUGUAGAGGUGAAAUUCGUAGAUAUUAGAAAGAAUACCAAUUGCGAAGGCAGCUUUCUGGAUCAUUACUGACACUGAGGAACGAAAGCAUGGGUAGCGAAGAGGAUUAGAUACCCUCGUAGUCCAUGCCGUAAACGAUGUGUGUUAGACGUUGGAAAUUUAUUUUCAGUGUCGCAGGAAAACCGAUAAACACACCGCCUGGGGAGUACGACCGCAAGGUUAAAACUCAAAUGAAUUGACGGGGACCCGCACAAGUAGUGGAGCAUGUGGUUUAAUUCGAAGAUACGCGCAGAACCUUACCAACACUUGACAUGUUCGUCGCGACUCUAAGAGAUUAGAGUUUUCGGUUCGGCCGGACGAAACACAGGUGCUGCAUGGCUGUCGUCAGCUCGUGUCGUGAGAUGUUGGGUUAAGUCCCGCAACGAGCGCAACCCUCACUUUUAGUUGCCAUCAUUAAGUUGGGCACUCUGAAAGAACUGCCAGUGAUAAGCUGGAGGAAGGUGGGGAUGACGUCAAGUCCUCAUGGCCCUUACGUGUUGGGCUACACACGUGCUACAAUGGUAUCUACAACAGGAAGCAAAACUGCGAAGUUAAGCAAAUCCCUAAAAGAUACCUCAGUUCGGAUUGCACUCUGCAACUCGAGUGCAUGAAGCUGGAAUUACUAGUAAUCGUGGAUCAGCGUGCCACGGUGAAUGCGUUCCCGGGUCUUGUACACACCGCCCGUCACACCAUGGGAGUUGGUUCUACCUUAAGGCAAGGUUU